UGGAGGAAGAUGGAAGCUUGCGUGUGU
This 27-nucleotide non-coding RNA is filed under the name Homo sapiens (human). Lineage: Eukaryota; Metazoa; Chordata; Mammalia; Primates; Hominidae. The record is from RNAcentral.